This 273-nucleotide ribosomal RNA is filed under the name uncultured bacterium. RNAcentral describes it as "partial 16S ribosomal RNA". It matches the Rfam family "Bacterial small subunit ribosomal RNA", at positions 524 to 796 of the family's 1533-position model. The record is from RNAcentral.
UACGAAGGUCCCAAGCGUUGUUCGGAAUCACUGGGCGUAAAGGGUGCGUAGGCGGCGUGGUAAGUCAGAUGUGAAAUCCCGGGGCUCAACCUCGGAACUGCAUCCGAUACUGCCAUGCUUGAGGACUGGAGAGGUGACUGGAAUUCUCGGUGUAGCAGUGAAAUGCGUGGAUAUCGAGAGGAACACUCGUGGCGUAAGCGAGUCACUGGACAGUAUCUGACGCUGAGGCACGAAGGCCAGGGUAGCGAAAGGGAUUAGAAACCCCAGUAGUCC